This 495-nucleotide ribosomal RNA is filed under the name Chthoniobacterales bacterium. Its description in RNAcentral is "bacterial SSU rRNA". It matches the Rfam family "Bacterial small subunit ribosomal RNA", at positions 1 to 476 of the family's 1533-position model. Lineage: Bacteria; Pseudomonadati; Verrucomicrobiota; Spartobacteria; Chthoniobacterales. The record is from RNAcentral.
UUUACGGAGAGUUUGAUUCUGGCUCAGAACGAACGCUGGCGGCGUGGAUAAGACAUGCAAGUCGAACGGGACAACAUUUGUAGCAAUACAGAUUUUGUUUAGUGGCGAACGGGUGCGUAACACGUGGGCAAUCCGCCGAGAAGUGGGGGAUAGCUCGCCGAAAGGCGAAUUAAUACCGCAUAUGAUCAGGGACGACAUCUUCCCAACAUCAAAGCCGGGGCAACCUGGCGCUUCUUGAGGAGCCCGCGGCCUAUCAGCUAGUUGGCGAGGUAACGGCUCACCAAGGCUAUGACGGGUAGCUGGUCUGAGAGGACGACCAGUCACACUGGAACUGAGACACGGUCCAGACACCUACGGGUGGCAGCAGUCGAGAAUUUUUCUCAAUGGGGGCAACCCUGAAGGAGCGACGCCGCGUGGAGGAUGAAGGCUUUCGGGUUGUAAACUCCUGUCAUUUGAGAACAAGGUGCACAUGUUAACUGUAUGUGCAUUGAUAGU